CUAGCCAAAACGUUUCGUUUUCGUUUUUAGGUGCUCCCGAUUUCUCAAAUUUUCGUCAUCGAUAUGUUUCAUUUUCUCAUCGAUUUUAGCAAACAAAAACCGUUGACCUGGUUGUUUCAAAAUAUACAGCGUGAUACAAAAUAUUUCUUGCCAGCGUUCCGAUCACCAAAUCGGACAGCGUCAGCUGUUCUUACGAAAACGAAACGGUUGUUGCCCUAACCAAUUAUUUACGAGCCAAACUUGAAGUUGGGUUAAGAAAAAAUUAUUUAUAAAAGAGACAAGCUAUAUUGCCCUAGUAAUGGUAUCAAAUUUACGUUGAUGCAUACAAAUUGGUUUUUAUUAGCAAUUAAGAUUCGUUUAGCUGUAUUAAAAAAAGCCGUUGACUUUUCAUUUCGGCAAGGAGAAUGUUUGCUUUUUGGAAAAAAGGGUGCACAAAUUUUAGCGUUUUUAAAAGUAAAUCGGAAAAUGUUUGCGAAAGUGAAAGCUAGAGCCUGCCUGAUAAUUAUAUUUUCGCAGUAAAAAAAAAAAAUAAAUGAUAAUAAAAGGAACCUAUACAGGAACUAUGCUUAUGAGCACAAUAGAAAAGAUAUACAAAAACUAAAUUUUAGUUUUUGUAUGUGUGUAUACAUAUGUAUGCAUAUACAUAUGUACAUCUUUUCGAAGAUGCAUUUAAUGGACCCGGUGAUUAGAAUUACGAUAUUUACAUAUGUAUGAACAUGAAUACUUUUGGUGUUUCGAGACAGCUAUAAUCGCUUUAAACGCGUUUUAAUCGUCAACAUUUUACGAAUGCAAUUUUGAUCAAAUCUGUACGUUGACACAAAAUACUAUGAAAUGAUGUAUAUGCACAUACAUAUGCAUGUAAGUAUUACCGCUGGCUUGGAAAAUAUCAAAAGAUGAAGUACGCCGAGAAUAUGGAUUUAAUGCCGGAUCUACUGGAGCAACACCAACAUAUGGAACAUUGACCGUGGAAUGAAUUAUGAAUGAAACAUGGGAAAUAGAAGAGAAGAAAGAACAGACGAAUGAAUCGAAAAUUUAACGAAAAUGUGCGUGUGAGCAUGUCGGAAUGGCGCGAGUUUCAAUCACAAGGGGUAAGAAAUUAAUGAAUUCAACAACGACAUUUGUGGAAAAGUCCUGGAGUCCAUUCUUACAUUCAAUUUAAGACUCAAAUUCGAAAGAGACUUAAUAAUUACAAGCUUUUUUUUUCUAAGAUGUGUAGACAUUUUAUGGGCUAUUCGAUGGUACCAUGGAGGAACAAAGUUACUGAUCCCAUUAGCAUGUAUAAUUUCAACACUGUAACUUAUGGUCUUUCGAGCGCUCUUUAUUCAGCUAUCAGAAGCCUACAAUAUAUGGCAAAAAACCUAUUCUACUGAACCGACUGACUAUUCUUUCCGACUCCGAGUUCGAGCUGGAUCGCAAUGCUGAUGAGGUCAGCUUUCUUUUGGCAAAAACUGGCUUACAGUUGGCCAAGUGGCAUUUCAAUCACGAAAAAUGGGCAGGAGGGAUCCAGGAAGUUCCAAUUAAGGUUGCCGUUCAGAAAUAUCAAAGGCUUUCGGUAUUGCGUGGAGACCUCGGAUAGACACCUUCUGUUUUCGAUGUCAUACACCCAUAAUUUAAAACUUGGGAUGAAAUGAAGCAUUAGUUUGUCUGUAUUUUGCUGAACUGUUUCCAGUGCUGUUCUGCAGUGGAUGGGAAUACAUUCCUCCCACUUUCGUGGGAAACCGCAUUGCGGAAUGGCAAUCAUUCAGCAUUUUCCAAACCAAGUCCAAUCGCAAGCUCAAAUUGCUGAGAAUACACAGAGAGGUACCGACUGGAAGUCUCAGCAAACUCCAAAGUUUGCUGUGCCAACACCGGUACGGCACAAACAUAUGUAUACACACACGGAGUACUCGGUCGUAGCACGUGUGCUGUGACAAAACUCAGAAUAGUUUCCAAAUAUGAAUAGAUAUAUUGCAUCUUUUCUUUUCCGAAAUAAUUGUCUAUCCAUGUAUUGAAAAUGGGAUUCAUUUGUUGACAACCGGCCGGCGUAUAUGUACAUAUGUAUGUACAAUAAAAUAAAAUGGUUUUUUUGUACACAUAGAAUUAUGUAUGUAAUUAUGUAAUUACUCUGUUUUAAUUUUAGAAUCAAAUUGAUCGUUAUUUAAUUAUCAAAGUAAUGAUGGUAGCGCAUACAUUUUCUGGGAGUUAUGGAAUUAACACUAAAACAAUAAUAUAAGAUCUAAAUCAAAUUAUUAUUAUACC
This is a long non-coding RNA of Drosophila miranda, 2238 nucleotides long. RefSeq lists it as uncharacterized. The transcript is spliced from 3 exons. NCBI's taxonomy places the organism in Eukaryota, Metazoa, Arthropoda, Insecta, Diptera, Drosophilidae. The record is from RefSeq and is a predicted model, not a curated record.